Phthorimaea operculella (potato tuberworm) is the source of this 87-nucleotide non-coding RNA. NCBI's taxonomy places the organism in Eukaryota, Metazoa, Arthropoda, Insecta, Lepidoptera, Gelechiidae. The record is from the annotation of a GenBank genome assembly.
ACCGCGGUAGCCCAGUUGAUAAGUUAGUGUGGCGUUUGUCUGAAGUACAGAUGCCUAAGGUUGCAGGUUCAAAUCCUGCCUGCGGUG